RNAcentral lists this ribosomal RNA (262 nucleotides) under Leifsonia sp. ISO317_OTU4787. RNAcentral's name for it is "partial 16S ribosomal RNA". It matches the Rfam family "Bacterial small subunit ribosomal RNA", at positions 29 to 289 of the family's 1533-position model. The record is from RNAcentral. Lineage: Bacteria; Bacillati; Actinomycetota; Actinomycetes; Micrococcales; Microbacteriaceae.
ACGAACGCUGGCGGCGUGCUUAACACAUGCAAGUCGAACGAUGAUCCAGGAGCUUGCUCUUGGGGAUUAGUGGCGAACGGGUGAGUAACACGUGAGUAACCUGCCCUUGACUCUGGGAUAACCUCCGGAAACGGAAGCUAAUACCGGAUAUGACGUACGGAGGCAUCUCCUGUACGUGGAAAGAACUUCGGUCAAGGAUGGACUCGCGGCCUAUCAGGUAGUUGGUGAGGUAACGGCCCACCAAGCCUACGACGGGUAGCCG